RNAcentral lists this ribosomal RNA (477 nucleotides) under uncultured bacterium. RNAcentral's name for it is "bacterial SSU rRNA". It matches the Rfam family "Bacterial small subunit ribosomal RNA", at positions 24 to 518 of the family's 1533-position model. The record is from RNAcentral.
UCAGGACGAACGCUGGCGGCGUGCCUAACACAUGCAAGUCGAGCGAGGAGAUCCUCGGGAUGAUCCUAGCGGCGGACGGGUGAGUAACACGUGGGGCAACCCUGCCUCAUAGAGAGGAAUAGCCUUCCGAAAGGGAGAUUAAUACCUCAUAACAUUGCAGUUUCGCAUGGAACAGCAAUUAAAGGAGCAAUCCACUAUGAGAUGGGCCCGCGGCGCAUUAGCUAGUUGGUGAGGUAACGGCUCACCAAGGCGACGAUGCGUAGCCGACCUGAGAGGGUGAUCGGCCACAUUGGGACUGAGACACGGCCCAGACUCCUACGGGAGGCAGCAGUGGGGAAUAUUGCACAAUGGGGGAAACCCUGAUGCAGCAACGCCGCGUGAGUGAUGACGGCCUUCGGGUUGUAAAGCUCUGUCUUCAGGGACGAUAAUGACGGUACCUGAGGAGGAAGCCACGGCUAACUACGUGCCAGCCGCCGC